UAUCUGGGAUAGAUGGUGGAAAGGGCCAUU
This 30-nucleotide non-coding RNA is filed under the name Mus musculus (house mouse). The record is from RNAcentral. Lineage: Eukaryota; Metazoa; Chordata; Mammalia; Rodentia; Muridae.